This 406-nucleotide ribosomal RNA is filed under the name uncultured soil bacterium. RNAcentral's name for it is "bacterial SSU rRNA". It matches the Rfam family "Bacterial small subunit ribosomal RNA", at positions 26 to 431 of the family's 1533-position model. The record is from RNAcentral.
AGAGUGAACGCUGGCGGUAGGCCUAGCACAUGCAAGUCGAACGGCUGCACAGUGGUAGCAAUACCAUGGGUGGCGAGUGGCGGACGGGUGAGGAAUACAUCGGAAUCUACCUUUUCGUGGGGGAUAACGUAGGGAAACUUACGCUAAUACCGCAUACGCCCUUCGGGGGAAAGCCGGGGAUCGCAAGACCUGGCGCGGAUAGAUGAGCCGAUGUCGGAUUAGCUAGUUGGUGAGGUAAUGGCUCACCAAGGCGACGAUCCGUAGCUGGUCUGAGAGGAUGAUCAGCCACACUGGAACUGAGACACGGUCCAGACUCCUACGGGAGCAGCAGUGGGGAAUAUUGGACAAUGGGCGCAAGCCUGAUCCAGCCAUACCGCGUGGGUNAAGAAGGCCUCGGUUGUAAAGU